GUGGGGAAUAUUGGACAAUGGGCGCAAGCCUGAUCCAGCCAUGCCGCGUGAGUGAUGAAGGCCUUAGGGUUGUAAAGCUCUUUCAGUAGGGAAGAUAAUGACGGUACCUACAGAAGAAGCCCCGGCUAACUUCGUGCCAGCAGCCGCGGUAAUACGAAGGGGGCUAGCGUUGUUCGGAUUUACUGGGCGUAAAGCGCACGUAGGCGGAAUGUUAAGUCAGAGGUGAAAUCCUGGAGCUCAACUCCAGAACUGCCUUUGAUACUGGCAAUCUCGAGUCCGGAAGAGGUGAGUGGAACUCCUAGUGUAGAGGUGGAAUUCGUAGAUAUUAGGAAGAACACCAGUGGCGAAGGCGGCUCACUGGCCCGGUACUGACGCUGAGGUGCGAAAGCGUGGGGAGCAAACAGGAUUAGAUACCCUUGUAGUCC
RNAcentral lists this ribosomal RNA (425 nucleotides) under uncultured bacterium. RNAcentral's name for it is "bacterial SSU rRNA". It matches the Rfam family "Bacterial small subunit ribosomal RNA", at positions 354 to 796 of the family's 1533-position model. The record is from RNAcentral.